Actinia tenebrosa (Australian red waratah sea anemone) is the source of this 375-nucleotide long non-coding RNA. The record is from RefSeq and is a predicted model, not a curated record. NCBI's taxonomy places the organism in Eukaryota, Metazoa, Cnidaria, Anthozoa, Actiniaria, Actiniidae.
GGCAAGUAACCAUAUCUGGAGAUGAUUAUGGAUGAUUUACUCUGCUCCCCUAGUCUUUUUGAUAGCUGUAUUUGCUGGCAAGUAACCAUAUCUGGAGAUGAUCAUGAAUGAUUUACUCUGCUCCCUCAGUCUUUUUGAUAGCUGUAUUUGCUGGAGGCUCCACUUCAGUGAACAACAUUCAAGAGGCACAUGUGAAAUGUUACAGAUAAGCCAAAGUAAUAGAGUAAAAACAUUACUUUGUACAACACAUAUACAUGUAGCACUAAUUUGAAAUAUUGAUGAAAUCAUUUUGCUUCAUUGUGGUACAAGGCACUUUAAUGUCAAAUCAACCCAUCUUUGUUAUCAAGCUCACUAUGGGUACUAGUUUCCUGACAU